Molecule: ribosomal RNA, 615 nt
Filed under: Fungal sp. bms3
Lineage: Eukaryota; Fungi
Description: eukaryotic LSU rRNA
Rfam family: Eukaryotic large subunit ribosomal RNA
Source: RNAcentral
GCAUAUCAAUAAGCGGAGGAAAGAAACCAACAGGGAUUGCCUUAGUAACGGCGAGUGAAGCGGCAACAGCUCAAAUUUGAAAGCUGGCCCUUUUAGGGUCCGCAUUGUAAUUUGUAGAGGAUGAUUCGGCGAGGGCUCCUGCCUAAGUCCCCUGGAACGGGGCGUCAUAGAGGGUGAGAAUCCCGUAUGCGGUAGGUUGCCUUAGCCAUGUGAAUCUCCUUCGACGAGUCGAGUUGUUUGGGAAUGCAGCUCUAAAUGGGAGGUAAAUUUCUUCUAAAGCUAAAUACCGGCCAGAGACCGAUAGCGCACAAGUAGAGUGAUCGAAAGAUGAAAAGCACUUUGGAAAGAGAGUUAAAAAGUACGUGAAAUUGUUGAAAGGGAAGCGCUUGCAACCAGACUUGUCCGCAGUUGCUCAGCCGGUCUCCUGACCGGCGUACUCUUCUGCGGCCAGGCCAGCAUCAGUUCGGGCGGUCGGAUAAAGGCCUCGGGAAUGUGGCUCCUCUCGGGGAGUGUUAUAGCCCGGGGUGCAAUGCGGCCAGCCUGGACUGAGGAACUCGCUUCGGCAAGGAUGCUGGCGUAAUGGUUGUAAGCGGCCCGUCUUGAAACACGGACCAA